UCCCUUCCUUGCUUUUUCUGAGGGAAAUAGCCAGAUUUUGACAUGCCAGCUUCCUCAGAAGAAGAAUAGUUGGUCUGUUGCCUGCACGUGUUGGAUGUUAAUGAUUGAUCUUGAAAAUAUUUCAAGUUUCAGUGUGGGCUCUCAUUCAUCCAUGCAAGAGGAGACCUGUGGCUCUGGGGAGGAAAUCUGUAGCUAAUUGGAGUUUCCACUUAGGAGGAGAUUCUGCAGCUCUUCCACCAUUCCUUUGCACUGGUCCCAGGAGGUCCCAGGUUCCUUCCGAGCUUAUGGCCAGGAUUUGGUUUCAGCAGCAAUCUGAGGGAAGUGGUUGGCUCUUUCCUGCCUGCGCCUGGCCCAC
RNAcentral lists this long non-coding RNA (355 nucleotides) under Phasianus colchicus (ring-necked pheasant). RNAcentral describes it as "lncRNA (ENSPCLG00000010716.1)". Lineage: Eukaryota; Metazoa; Chordata; Aves; Galliformes; Phasianidae. The record is from RNAcentral.